Molecule: RNA transcript, 1030 nt
Organism: Portunus trituberculatus (swimming crab)
Lineage: Eukaryota; Metazoa; Arthropoda; Malacostraca; Decapoda; Portunidae
Exons: 3
Source: RefSeq, a predicted model, not a curated record
ACCAGAGCAACUCCCUUGGCAAUUCAGUUUCCUCUCAGCAGUCGUGGUGUGAAGACUCAACAACUCUCUUGGCUCGCUCCUCAAUGAAAACUGAAACUGACUCGAGAAAGGUUUAACUUAACUUAUUCGGCAACAAGCUCAGUGUUUCUUCAUCCUGUAAGAGAAGCUGAGUUACAGAUACACUUCCUGAAAAUACGAAAACAUUUUCAUAAAUAGAAAGUCAGCAUAAGAAGCUACAUAAAGUCCUGCAAAACAACAUGCAUUAAAGUGAUCAAGUGACCGCCAGUACGAGUGUAAAGAAACUGUAAAGUUGAAAAAAAUAUACACAGAAGAAAUAGUCGUUACUGUUCGGGAAGACCCAGAGAGAGAUUUUAUUAUUGAGCCAAGAAAAACAAAAGUGGAGUGCGAUAGAAGCAUCCCGGUGUAGCAUAAGUGAAGAAGGGCGAUAAGAGUGACAAGUGCCGAGGAGAGGAAGUGUUCAGACUCAUGCGGCCAAGAUGCAGAGUGCUCUAAAUUGAUGGCAAGUGCUUUGGCGCCAAGACCAUUUAGCCAAGCCAAGUCUCUCAACGGAGUGUGUACAGAGUGUGCAUUUGUACUGCUUCUUCUCACAGUGGAAGACAGAAACAUUGCUGCAGCAGCUGGUACAAAUUGGCACCGUAACGGCUAUGGUUUAGGGCAAGUCAGGAGCUUCGCUUUGAGGGAUCGCAGUUCCGGCAGAGAGGAGCAGCAGGACAGGCGUGCAGAUGGCUGGCGGCCCAGUGGCCUCGCCUCGCACCCGUGCAGGUCUCUCAUUAUUGUAUAGAAAAAAAAGUUUCACCAUUUGUGCCUGACACGUGCUGCAGCAGCUGGCUCUGAGGCGAAGAAAACCACCUGCUCUCCACUCACGCCGCCGCCCCGCAGCAGGGAGGGAGGGCCCGACGAGCACCACAGGUAGCGUUUGUCUUUGCUAGGUGACAGUAGCCUCACGGGGCAGGUUGUCAUCUUAUUAGUCAGUGUUAUUUUUUUAGCCUCUAUUAAAUAAACAACAAAG